Heterocephalus glaber (naked mole-rat) is the source of this 1042-nucleotide long non-coding RNA. NCBI's taxonomy places the organism in Eukaryota, Metazoa, Chordata, Mammalia, Rodentia, Bathyergidae. The record is from Ensembl.
GCAGGGGGAAUCCACGCGGCAGGGAGGAGACCGGAAGUGAGGCUUGGCAGGCAGCCACAGAGCAGAGCAGGAGGAGCAGCGAGAGGAGGCCGGGAGCGGAGUGUAUCGCUUUCCCUGUUCCUGAAAGGUCCUCUCUGGCCAAGUAGAGGGAGAGGAGCGCUUCUGAGGAAGCCAUCAUUGAAGAGAGUGAAAAGGUCACGAUUACGUGGACACCUCCGGGUUCACUGGCCCCACUUCUGCGCCCCUUCUCCAGGCGCCGACACCUCGCCGUCCUGGAGCCCUCGUUCUCGGAACCGGAACCGGAACUGGAUCACAGUGGGCAGCACAGCCACAGCGCCCAGAGCACCAGUCCUUGAGAGUUCAGACGCCCAAUUAGUGUCCUUAUAAAAUGGUGUCAGGGAACCUUCUCUAAAAUCCCGUAUAUCACCCUUAGGACACUGAAGUAUCCGUACGCCGAAUCAUCCAUCUUCCUGCAGAUCUCCUCUCCUCCCACUUACUUGGGCCUAAAGCGGCUGCUUGCAGUGAGAGAAGAGAAGCAGGAUCUUCCUUCCCUCGUUCUUGCUCUGCUCCUUCUCUUCUACAAGUUUGGCCGUUCCGUGGGCUCCUCGUAAAUUGCCUUCACUGGAAAAUUCCGAUUCUGCCCCACUGACAGCUGUGGCACCGGGCAGAAGCUACUUUUCUCCUAUGCAUCUGCAGUGUUUUCCUCCCAAGUCCAAGGAAGCUGAACACUGAAGAAGAAUUUCUGAGGCCAGAGCUGGAGAUCUUGUUCACCACCAUGAUGGUCCACUGGGCUUGGAAACCUCUUUCUAACCUCUAAUAUUGAAAAGUCUCUCUAAAUACUACAAACUACUUCCAAAACACUGAGAAAUAUUAGCUGUUGACAAGAAUCCUCUGUGUUUUAAUUUCAUAUUUCUAGCAAUUUCUGGAAUAUGAAGAUUCAUAGAUAGCUCUAAAGUUUGACUACUGAUCAAUAGUCGGUGUAAGCCUAUUCAUUAAGCCUUAAUUUCAGGAAAGUCAAGCACAUGCUUUUACUCCACAGUAG